GCGGCCAGGGCCGCCAUGUGCCUGGUGUGCGGCCGGGUGCGUUGCGAUGGGAGACCCACCUAGACCCGGCCCUGGUGGCCAUGGGACGCAGCGACUCAGUCAGGAAAAGGGCAGGCGGUCGGAGAGGGGAAGUCGAGGUGGCUGAAACAACGCUGCCCCGCGGAGAUCGCGGGCCUCAAGGGACUGCCCUCCCAUCCUCCAUCCCCGCAAGGACUAAGGCCAAGCCGCGGCAGCCGCAGCCGCCGCCCCCUCUCCUCUCGUCCCCGGUCCCGGAGGCUCUGGGGUGCUGCCGCCACUGCAACUUUCUCCUGUGAUACCCCCUCUUUGUUAUGGAGCAGCUGAUCCGCUGACAUCACCCGGCGCCGGUGCGCUCCCUCCCUCGUUGAUUGACAGUUCCCUGUCCUUUCCCAGAAGUGAGGAUCCUUAGAACCCAAGGUGCUCCGGAGCUGCGCCGCCUCUUAAGACCAGGCAGUGGGCAGACCAGGCGGCGUUUACCUUUUGGCUUGGUUCACUGUUCGCCAGCCACGCGGUCCAGGUCGCCGCCGGCUGUUCGCUAGCGCCGGGGGCCUCGAGGGUACCCGCCUGGGGUGGGUGAGGGGCUCAGAGCACCUGAUACCCCACGAUGUGCCACCAGGGACUUGGAAGUGCGUCAUGCUGGGUGUUCCUACCACUAUCUCACUCCUGGACAGCUGGAGCGCACUCGGAACUAAGGAAGCCUUUGGUUCCUGAGCUUCUACUUCCUCUUGCCCUCGAGCCCCACUUCACUCGGCUCGCUACUGCCCAGAGUUGCAAAGUGCGGCGGGCCCAGGAGCGCAGGUGCCCCGUCCCCCUUCCACUGCCCAGCGCUGCCUCCACAAGCCAGUUCCCUCGACUCCAGGGGGCGUCCUGCGUCCUGGAUUCCUCCCGACUGAACGUCCUACCCAGGAGUCCCCAGUCUCCAUCUUCUUUCGCAUCUCCAGGCCCCUAGAGAGAUCCAGGAAUUCAGCAAACCCAAAUGGCAGCAGGCUGCAGAUGCUCAUCUCCUUCAGUUACUAGACAAUAAAAACGAUGAAAACCGAAGGAAGAAGCAAAAAUAAAUUUAUUUCUUUACUGAAAGAAGAGGAGAAUGUCCUCUUGGAGGAGUGCGGUUAGCCCCGGUGUUAGGAGCAGCCUACCUGUGUCAAGAGCCUUUCCAUGUGCUGCUUUGAGAGUGUUUGGAACCGGCGCCCAUUCCCUGCCUCUACAGAAAUGGAUCUCGAAUGUGCCUAGAAGGAUCUGGGGCUGAGGCCGCCACUACUCCUAGCCCCUUGAUGAUUCAGGAAUGCCUCUACUGGCUGAGCACGCCCUCCGUCCCUCAGUGAUCCAGUCAGACAGGAAUUCAUCACUGAGCCACUACUCCGGACUCCCAGCUCCUAGCUCAUGUCCCUGCAGUGUAUCCAGUAAACUAAAUUUAGACCCUCGGGGACAACAGAGAAGGAGCCAUGUGGCCCAGAUCUCUGUCUUCGUGUGCGGUGGGCUAUAUGACAUGCUUGCCUUCUCCGAUCUGAAAACCUAGGCUAGAUUUGGGUCUAGUGAAACAACUUGGGGGUUGGGGAAAAGGCUACAAUCGGAAACUGCGCAUUUCUGUAACAAUAACUUCAGACAAAGUAAGAUGAAGAGGUUUGAAAAAUAAAUACAAUUGCCAUGAAAACCAAA
Molecule: long non-coding RNA, 1674 nt
Filed under: Mus musculus (house mouse)
Lineage: Eukaryota; Metazoa; Chordata; Mammalia; Rodentia; Muridae
Description: RIKEN cDNA 5031434O11 gene, transcript variant 4 (5031434O11Rik)
Source: RNAcentral